This is a long non-coding RNA of Coregonus clupeaformis (lake whitefish), 493 nucleotides long. RefSeq lists it as uncharacterized. The transcript is spliced from 3 exons. NCBI's taxonomy places the organism in Eukaryota, Metazoa, Chordata, Actinopteri, Salmoniformes, Salmonidae. The record is from RefSeq and is a predicted model, not a curated record.
GGCACAGCCCAACCCUUGGUAAUGUGGAGCCAGAGCACAAGAUGCCUUCCAUGUGUUGUGGAUGUUCUGGUGUUAGCUGCUCGAAUAGCCAAGGGCUGUACGUUCUGGACACCGUCAUAACUCAAAAAGAACAUGAAAGAACCUACCUCUGUUUCUCUUGGACGUUUCCAUGAAGAACCUCUCAGUCCAGAUGGAUCUCUGGACUACCACAUCUGCAUGGCCAGCAGAUGAGACUUCCUGUGAUUUGGCAUCCAUCACCCACAGGACUUUGUUAUUUCCAGCGUUUGCAUAAUGACAAUGGUUUCAAGACUCCAUCCAGCUCAAGCGAAGCACUCAUGCAUUCCAGAAAGCCUGUAUUCCAUCCCUGCAACGAUCAACAACAAUCGGUUUUAUAUUCAUAAACUAAUGUAGACCUAUAAUAUUCAGCUCAUUUGGUUACAAAUGUGUUCUAAAUCUAGACUGGCUCAAUAAAAUGCUUUAUUGCCUAACUGUA